CCGGGGCAUCGGGGGCCCUCCUCCGAACAUGCCCGAACCACCUCAGCCUCGCUUCUCUCAUCUUCUCGUCCACCGGGGCUACCCCUACUUUCUGACGAAUAACUUCAUUCUUGAUCUUAUCCAGCCUGGUGUGCCCACACAUCCAUCUAAUCGUCCUCAUCUCUGCAACCUUCAUCCUCUGAACAUGCGAAUUCUUCACGGGCCAGCCACAUACAUCCUAAGUAAUAUUUUUAAAGGUUGUUUAAUUGACUAUGAAUUGAAUGGAGAAUGCAGGAGCACAAGAGUGUUUAGGCUUUGAAAGCAUUUGAAAAAUGGUCGAAAAUGUGUCUAAGUAUAAUUUUUGCAAAUUGCAAAUUACCUAAGACGGCUAACUUUUCAAAUGUGAAGGUUUUGUCGCAUUUAAGACCCAGCUUAUUUUUGGUCACCUUCGCAUUUGCGAGGGACCAACAAUUAGUUCAUGAGUUUGCAAUGAAUUCUGCAGUAAACAAUGAUUAUCAGA
This 499-nucleotide long non-coding RNA is filed under the name Nicotiana benthamiana. Its description in RNAcentral is "long non-coding RNA (NBEN_LNC042179)". Lineage: Eukaryota; Viridiplantae; Streptophyta; Magnoliopsida; Solanales; Solanaceae. The record is from RNAcentral.